UGCCUCCUACGGGGCGCAGCAGUGAGGAAUAUUGGUCAAUGGCCGAGAGGCUGAACCAGCCAAGUCGCGUGAGGGAUGACGGCCCUACGGGUUGUAAACCUCUUUUGUCGGGGAGCAAGACCCGCCUCGUGCAGGCGGAGCGAGAGUACCCGAAGAAAAAGCAUCGGCUAACUCCGUGCCAGCAGCCGCGGGAAUACGGAGGAUGCGAGCGUUAUCCGGGUGUAUUGGGUUUAAAG
RNAcentral lists this ribosomal RNA (236 nucleotides) under uncultured bacterium. RNAcentral's name for it is "partial 16S ribosomal RNA". It matches the Rfam family "Bacterial small subunit ribosomal RNA", at positions 333 to 565 of the family's 1533-position model. The record is from RNAcentral.